UGGCUCUCCCUUUUUUUUUUUUUUUUUUUUUUUUUUUGUCUCUAGGGAAGGAACUUGGGUCUUUGUGCUUGCGAGGCAGGUAGCGGAACUACUGAGCUAAAUUCCAGCCCAUCUCCUUUCUUGACUUCCACAUUGCCUUUGCAUUCUCUGUGGGAAUUUACGUUUCUUGCUCCACAUCUGUUCACAUAUGCCCUUCACACUUGAGGUAUCGUCCUUUGAACAUCUUUCUGUCAACCCAAAAUGAAUGUUACAGAAGAAAAGCCAUUGUAUAUGUCAUCUUUUCUUUCCUACCACCUCAGCUACAUCCCUCCUGCACUAACAUUGUUC
Molecule: long non-coding RNA, 327 nt
Filed under: Fukomys damarensis (Damara mole-rat)
Lineage: Eukaryota; Metazoa; Chordata; Mammalia; Rodentia; Bathyergidae
Description: lncRNA (ENSFDAG00000025030.1)
Source: RNAcentral